CCACAUGGCUACAUCCAACAGAGCUUUCUUUAGCUUGCCCAUGGUGAUGUGAAGAUGAGAAGAAAUAGCAAGGCCCAACCAGUUCUUCAUCUGGAGACAGUUCAACGUUCUGCAAACCAGAUCUUCAGGAAUUUUACUGGGAUAAUUAUCCAAAUAAAUUGCAAGCAUUCUAUCCAAAUGGAGCUCUUUCUGAGAUGAAGAGAAUUCUCAAUGUCAAGAUUUGAACAAGAAGAGAAUGGAAUACACAAUAUGGACAUCCAUAAAAAUUCAUCAGAGAGCAUUUUACUACUGAGCUGCAAAGGGAAAAACUUAAAAUGGAUAUGAAAAGUGAAGAAAGUGAUCAUAGGAGAAAACCAUUUCAGAUGACAAGAGCACCUCAAAGGCAGCAGCCUCAAGGAGCAGCCAUGGCCCCAGACUUGUCGCACGGAUGCAGAAAACUUAAUGGAGGAGGCUGAGGUCAGAAUGGGAAGAGUUUUUAAAAAAUAAAAAGGGGAGCUAAUAUGUGA
RNAcentral lists this long non-coding RNA (506 nucleotides) under Homo sapiens (human). Its description in RNAcentral is "mir-99a-let-7c cluster host gene". The record is from RNAcentral. Lineage: Eukaryota; Metazoa; Chordata; Mammalia; Primates; Hominidae.